AUGUCCAUCAUCCACUCUCCAAGCGACUCAGGGCAUGGUGAUCGGGUCUUGAUUGUUUUGAUCAAUCAAGCUAAUCCAAACCUCCUUGCAGGUGAUUGUUUUAGAAAUAAAAACAGAAGUGAUGAGCCUCCCUGGGUGACCGAAGGCACUGCCGGCAACAGGCACUUGUUGACGAUGACCAGGAACGAUGGGGCUGGGGAAGCCAGCUGGAUUGAUAUGCUGAUACCAUUUUCAGACCCGAACGAGGACCUUGGGGCCCAUGUGGUGCCACUCCCACAUUUUAAACAUGGAGAAACUGGGGCACCGAAGGCAACAGCUGCUGUCCCUGAGGCACUAGCUAGCAGAGGACCCUUUCACACCCGUGCCUCCAGACAUGGUCAGUGCUCUUCCCUCUGCAAUCAGCCGCCUCUCCUAAAGCCUGAAGGUCAACAGCCAGCGUUUCAAGGGCAGCUCCACAAAGGACAUGACCACGUGGGCUCUGGGAGAUAUCUUCCCCUUUCCCCACCUCAGUUUCCCCACUGGGAAAAUCAGCCUUAUAACGUGUGACUCCCGGGGCCAUGGUGAGCUAGCCUUAGAGGAAACAGUGCUUGGAAUGUUCCUAGCGGAGUGCCUGUUACAUAGCUGAUUCCCAGCUCCUGACUCCCUUCUCCUCUACCCGGGCACAUGAGGCCUUUCAGGACAUGCAGAGAUGAAGAGUGUCUUUCGUGGCUGGGAAGGGUCAGCUGUGCAGAGGGUCUCGGCUGCUCAGACCCGUCUCAUCCUUCAGGAGACAAAUUUGGAGCUCAAUCCUGCAUCAGUGUGCUCUUACUCUGAAGAGACUCUCCUCCCUGCUCACUCCUGACAAACCCCCAAGGAAACAGAGCUUCUAAACACAGACUUUCCAAUUUUCCUAGUAAAAUGAAUGAAAGAACCUUUUGGGGAAUAAAGUGAUUUCUUUUUAGCUCCA
This 946-nucleotide long non-coding RNA is filed under the name Felis catus (domestic cat). RNAcentral's name for it is "lncRNA (ENSFCAG00000049198.1)". The record is from RNAcentral. Lineage: Eukaryota; Metazoa; Chordata; Mammalia; Carnivora; Felidae.